UGGCAUAGCUCAGUCGGUAGAGCAAAGGACUGAAAAUCCUUGUGUCCUUGGUUCGAUUCCAAGUGC
RNAcentral lists this transfer RNA (66 nucleotides) under uncultured Odoribacter sp. It matches the Rfam family "tRNA", at positions 5 to 66 of the family's 71-position model. From Rfam's summary of the family: Transfer RNA (tRNA) molecules are approximately 80 nucleotides in length. Their secondary structure includes four short double-helical elements and three loops (D, anti-codon, and T loops). The record is from RNAcentral. Lineage: Bacteria; Pseudomonadati; Bacteroidota; Bacteroidia; Bacteroidales; Odoribacteraceae.